CCCUUAGAUGUUCUGGGCCGCACGCGCGCUACACUGACGGAGGCAGCGAGCAUGUCCUUCGCCGAGAGGUGUGGGGAAUCUUGUGAGUCUCCGUCGUGCUGGGAAUAGAUGGUUGCAAUUGUCGAUCUUGAACGAGGAAUUCCUAGUAAGCGCGAGUCAUCAGCUCGCGCUGAUUACGUCCCUGCCCUUUGUACACACCGCCCGUCGCUCCUACAGAUUGAGCAGUCCGGUGAAUACUUCGGACCGUUUGCAUAGAUGGUUCGCCAUCUUUGCGAAUGGAAAGUCGAGUGAACCUUACUGCUUAGAUGAAGGAGAAGUCGUAACA
RNAcentral lists this ribosomal RNA (325 nucleotides) under uncultured eukaryote. RNAcentral's name for it is "partial 18S ribosomal RNA". It matches the Rfam family "Eukaryotic small subunit ribosomal RNA", at positions 1470 to 1796 of the family's 1831-position model. The record is from RNAcentral.